This 336-nucleotide unclassified non-coding RNA is filed under the name uncultured fungus. RNAcentral's name for it is "partial contains 5.8S ribosomal RNA, internal transcribed spacer 2, and large subunit ribosomal RNA". The record is from RNAcentral. Lineage: Eukaryota; Fungi.
AACGCAUAUUGCGCUCGAGCCUUCGGGCAAGAGCAUGUCUGCCUCAGCGUCGGUUUACACCCUCACCCCUCCCAAAUGUUUGGGUGCGAUUGGCGUCUAUCGCCGUCCACAGGGGUGGAUCUGGCUUCCCCAGUCUGCUAACGUCAGGUUGGGCUAGCUGAAGUGCAGAGGCUUAAGCAAGGACCCUUUGUGGCUUUAACUGGAUAGGUAGAACCGGCUCUUGCCGACUACACGAAGUUAUUGCUUGUGGACCUUGUUAGGGGCUUGGCAGGAACAUGCCAAUUGCAUGUCUAAACUUUCGACCUGAGCUCAGGCAAGGCUACCCGCUGAACUUAA